GCCAUCUUAGCUCAGUUGGUAGAGCAGCUCACUCGUAAUGAGCAGGUCAGCGGUUCGAGUCCGCUAGAUGGCUCAA
This 76-nucleotide transfer RNA is filed under the name Saprospiraceae bacterium. RNAcentral describes it as "tRNA-Thr". It matches the Rfam family "tRNA". Rfam says of the family: Transfer RNA (tRNA) molecules are approximately 80 nucleotides in length. Their secondary structure includes four short double-helical elements and three loops (D, anti-codon, and T loops). The record is from RNAcentral. Lineage: Bacteria; Pseudomonadati; Bacteroidota; Saprospiria; Saprospirales; Saprospiraceae.